CUCAACUCAUAGUUGUCUGAUGGUUACCUUUUUAUUGUACUAUAACUCAGAAACUUUCUCAUAGCAUAAAGCUUGUAUAUUUGUAAACUUUACCUUAUUUGUCUCCCACCAUCACUGUAUUUCAUUAUCUAAUGUCCAGUUUCUCAUUUUAUAUAUUUUUCAUGAUUUUUGGUUACCUCAGUCAAGAAAAUAAUAUGAUCCCUGUUACUCCAUCUUGCUUUGAAAUGGUUGUCUCUGACACAUUUUCCUUAGCCAUGUCUAUUUUGUCUAUUUUUUUCACACCCAAAUUUCUUUGUUUAGAUUCAUCCAUUUAAUUUUCUUUUGUUCUUCAUUAUCGACAGGUAUUUUCAUGACAAAUCACUAGAUAAUAUCUGGAGUUUCGGAAAUAUUUGUUUGAUGGUUAUUAGUGUAUAGCUUCUAUUAAAGUCAUGGUACUAAAUAAGAUUGCCUUAUGUAAAAAUUAAAAAUAGAGAAUAAUAUUUAGAAUUUAUUCCUAUCUAUGUGAUACUUGAAUUAAUGGGUUUUAUAUAAAUGAUUUCACAUAUAUUUGCAUGCAAGUUGACCUGAGUUUUAUAUGCUUAUCCCCUUUUUAAUCCUGAAUAAGCAUUGAGCACCAGGACUAUGACUUUACCAUCUGUCCUGCCAGGAUAAAGUGUGUAGUUAAGGAGGAAAUCAGUGAUGAGUGGUGAAUGUAGCAUGGAAGAAAGAGCAUGGGGGUGAGAAGCUGAAAUGAUACUUUCCCAUCUUAUCCAUAUUAUUUUAUUCUGAAAACAGUUUGUAUGUUUGCAAUCCUAGUCAACCAGAAUAAAUAAAUAAUUAUUUGCUUUAUCUUUGCCAAGAAACAAAGUUCAAUUCCCAACCAACAAAUUAAGGAUUUAGAUGGAUUUUUUUAAUUGGUUAUGUAUCUUCAAAACACUAAGGUUCCCAUGCGUAUAAGUUUACUAUAAGCAAGAUGCAUGCUUAUUUGUAUACAGUGUUAUGAAACAGUUCACGUGAACUUUAUGGAAUGUGGUCAUCUGAAUGGUUUCUGGUUAUGGGAAUUAUAUAAGUAAACUGAAAAAAAAAUACUUGAUCUUUUUAAGGAUGCUCUGUAAUAGCAAAACCAAAUGUUCGCAUUAAUAUAAAAGGUCAUUUUUAAAAAAUUAAAUUGUUUUUGAAAUUUUACUCUUGCCUAAAUAGAGGUCCUAAUUUGUUUGGUGAGGGAUUUGAUAAUCUUUGAAGAGACUAGGAAACAUGGAGUCUAUUAGAACCUUGAAUUAUGAGAAUCUGGUGGAAUUCCUCUGAGUUAAAAAGAGAAGAGGAGAUUUUCUUUCAGAAAAGAGAAGGGAGAGGCUAUUUGAGAAUAACAGCUGGAUUGGGGUCAAGGAAAUGGAAAAUAUAAAGAAGGAGUUUGGGGGAGAAGAUUACUUGGUGAAUGAGUGUCUGUUAAAUCAUUUGCUGUUUAGUGUACAACAUAACUAUCCCUUUUUGUUUUACGAAACAUUUAGCAAUGUCAAUAUGGCUCACUAGAGAUUUGGGCAGAAGAUUUUCUUUCCUUAGAAAAUGAUGAAGUUCAGGGUCUAGAUUAAGGGUUGGGAUGAGACAGACCCAAAAGGUCUCCAAAAGGACAGAGCUUUUACAGGGGAAGUACAGUUUUACAGAAACACUGAAGACUUAGGUACUCUAUAUAGCACUGGGAAUGCUGGGACAAGUUGCUUUCUAACCAAAAUUUUGUGUGGCUGUUUCAGAUUGGUAUACAAAGUUUCCUAUGCUGUAUUCAAUAAAGUGUUACAAAUAACGCAGAUCACCUUGCUAGUCUAUAUUACUAUUCAACCAGCAAAGUAAAUUUAGGCAAAAACUUUUUCAUGACUAUCUCCUAUGACUGUUUUGAAGAUUAUAUUUGUAAAAUUAUUUCAAAAUAUUUCUACAAUGAAAUAUCUUUGGAGCUUGUAUAGCUUAGGGCCUGAGAUCCUAUUCACAUCCGACAAUUUCUCUUAGAUUUUUUUUUUAGAUGGUCCUCGUUUCCAAUGAAGUUGAUGGCACCUAAAUGUUUCUGCAAGUUGACAGAGUUCAAAAAAGAUAGAGGUUGUUCUCCAAAGAACAAAGGAAAAUUGGGUAAUAGAAAAGUGAGAUUGUUUCUUAGAGGUGGACUCCCUGUUGAUAAACUGGAAUGGACUGUGAAGUUGUUAUAGGCUUUUUAAGAUGAAUGAAAAAACAUUUCAAUGCUUUCAAAUAAAGGGGAACAAAAGGCAACUUCCUAUGAGAAUUUUUAAACAAGAGUCAAAUGGAAUAAUGCAUUUAAUUCCUCAUUGUCCCUGCAUUUUUUAAGUUUGAAAAGUACAUGAUAAUUAUCUAUGUUGUUUGAUGAUUCACUGAUAAAUGUGAUAUUUAUGAGCAUAGUGGAAAUUUUGUUAUCUCUAGGGUAAAGAAUGGCUUGGAGAAACUCUGUCAACAUUUGUAUUUGUAUUAGAAUCAACAUAACAAUGCUAUUAUGCCAAAAAUAGAAAGUAUUUUAAUUGGAUUUCAAUUGUAUUUUAUUUUAAAAACUGUUAAUAGCAUGUGUUCUCUUCCCAUGAGUCAUUUUAUCUGAAAAUGUUAGUAUUUUUUUCCUUCAACUGUGUAUGAUGGGCUCAGCUUUUAUUUUAGGCCAAAGAAUGGACCAGCUAGCUAAUGUCUUGAUGACCAUGAUACAGAUGUUUCAGUAGCAAUAUUUUGAGUGCAGAUGGCCUAGGUGAAAUUGACAGUGGUGGGAAAUGGAAGCAUCACCUAAUUUUGAGGUAUAUAUGACUUUUAACAUUGAGAUAGUAACAGAUAGCACUUCAUCCAGCUCUUGGGAUUAUUUCUACUUUGUAGUUGCUAAUCUCUCUCAAUUGCAAUUUGUCCCAACUCUGCUGAUGAGGCCCAGCAACUUUUAUCAGUUCUCUUGGAAAACUAAACUAUAGGCUUAAAGUGACGAAAGACUAUAUUUAUUGUUAAGUAAUAUCUAAUCUUGUUAAGAUAUUAAGUAAUAUCUAAUUCAUUUUUUCAAAUAUCUUUCUUGUAAGUUAUCUCAUACUUAUUUAUUUUUCCUAAUUAGAGAUGAGGAAACUAAAGAUCAUAAAGCCCAAAUGGUCUUCCCUUGAUCACAAAAUUACCAAGUAAUUUUGUCAGCCAUUCAAGAAGCUGUCAUCAUAUUGAACAAGGCAUAUCGAAUAAGAUAAUAGUGUGGCAUUUGGGGCACUGGGAAGCCCACAGUCGAUUCACUGUUGGGAGCUCCCUCCAAGCACACAGUCAACCUCAAGACAUUGAGGGAUUAGUGUAGGACUGGGUGCAUACAACUGGCUAUGCUACAGGAUCAUUGGUACAAGUCCCAUAUCAUAAAAUGAUUUAAAACUUCUGAAACGAAAGGAAGAGGACCUAAACUUUCUGUAAUCUGGGAUCACUGUAAGGUGAAUUGAUAUUUUAAUAGGAUAGAAUGUAUGCAAUGGUCAUUCUUGUCUCAGUCAUCACAGGAGAGAUAAUAAGUUCUUGAAUGAUAAUUUGUGGCAAUAGUGAUGAAGAAAAUUUUCAAUCUGGAAUUUAGAAGGUAGGUGAUGGAUAUUUGUGAGUCAUUAACAUAAUUUUUACAAUUUUAAUUUAUUUUGUGAUUGAGUUUACAUAAAAGAGAGAAAAUUUAACACAAAGAAUUUCAAAUUGGUUAAUUUUCCUAUAUAAACCCUAAGGGAUCUUCUUGUCCUUGGUAGUGUGUACUUAUCAGAG
Molecule: long non-coding RNA, 3717 nt
Filed under: Sus scrofa (pig)
Lineage: Eukaryota; Metazoa; Chordata; Mammalia; Artiodactyla; Suidae
Description: lncRNA (ENSSSCG00000061216.1)
Source: RNAcentral